Prosopis cineraria is the source of this 1871-nucleotide long non-coding RNA. RefSeq lists it as uncharacterized. NCBI's taxonomy places the organism in Eukaryota, Viridiplantae, Streptophyta, Magnoliopsida, Fabales, Fabaceae. The transcript is spliced from 3 exons. The record is from RefSeq and is a predicted model, not a curated record.
AUGUAAAAGUUUACGAGUGUCCAUCCAUCUAUUUUAUCUCUUCAAUCUCUUGUUAUAUUGGAUCUCUCUCAUUGUGGGAAAUUAAAGAGUCUUGAUCAUGCCUCUUUUCCUAAUAAAUUAAGGUAUUUUUAUUGGGAACAAUGUCCACUGGAGUCUUUGUCGUUGGGCUUUUGUGCUAAGAACCUUGUUGAACUUCGUAUGGCACACAGCAAUAUUAAAAAGCUUUGGGAUGGAGUGCAGGAUCUUGUGAAUUUAAAGACAUUAUGGUUGCCUUGGUGUAAACAAUUGGUGGAGCUGCCUAAUUUUUCUAUGGCACGUAAUCUUGAAAUAGUCUAUCUCGGGGGUUGUGAAAGUCUACAUAGUGUUCAUCCAUCUAUUUUAUCUCUCCAAUCUCUUGUUGACUUGGAUGUCUCUAAUUGCAGGGAAUUAGAGAGCCUGAAAGUGAGACUUAUUUAGAAUCUCUCUCUAACCUUGGUGUUCAUGAUUGUCAAAGCCUCAAGAAAUUCUCUUUAUCAUCAAAGAAAUUGGGAAGUUUGUGUUUCGAUGGGACUGGAGUUGAAAUAUUGCAUUUUCUACCAAUGGGAGGUUUCACGGAACUCAGAGAUCUUGAGAUUUUUGGUGAAAGAUUGAGGAGCCUUCCAAUAAGUGAGCUAUGUGGCUUGACAAAUCUUGAGGCAUUUGAAAUUUGGGAUUUCCAGCAGGUGAUUCAUACAACAGAGCUGCGCUCUCUUUUUGAUGCUUGGCGUAAUUUAAAAAUACUAAGUUUGGUAAGAUGCAGUUACUUGCUGGAAAUCCCUGACAAUAUCAAGGCCUUAACAAGCUUGAAACACAUUUCCCUGAGAGACUGUGAGAUGCUUAAGUCUAUACUUGGACUUCCUCCCUUCCUUGAAGAUUUAGAUGCUGAAGGAUGCACUUCAUUGGAGAUCGUAUUUUCUGACUCUCUAGUUUAAAAUCAGUGUCAAUUUGAUUUCCAGGAGUGUAUAAAGUUGGAUGAGUGUUCUCUUCGCUUCAUUGAGAAACUAACUCAUUUCUCUUUGACUUCAGCCUGUAAGGCUAAGUGGCUUCUUCAUGUUGGGGCUUGUUACCCGAGAAGCAGAGUUCCAGAAUGGAUGGAAUAUAAACAUCAGACAGAGGCUUCCAAUGCUAUUGAAUUCAUUUGCAAUCUCGAACGAUCACCAACCAUCUUGUGUUGCUGCAUUGUUCCUCCUCAUCUCUGCUUACCUUCCGUGCAGCAGAUCUAUUGUGAUUUCUCUUAUGAUGAUAGCAACAAGUUCUGCAAUUCAUUUCCUUCUUAUUGUGGGCAUAAAAUCGAGCCGUUUCAUGUUUACAUAUGGCACCUGGAAUUGGGAAGGGCUUCAUUUGGCGGUGGAACAGGUAAUGUUGCCAAGAUUUCAUGUGAAUUCUAUGCGGGAUAUUGCAAUGAUGUUUAUCAAGAUAAUGGAGAGGUAGAGAAAGUUCCAAUGAAAGCAUGUGGAGUGCAUGUGACAUAUAACUCACAGUCGGACUCGGAUGAAGAACGACUCCCUCCAACAAAUCCCAUGACGACUUAACCUGUCACCCCUUGCAACUGAAAUUUAUUCGCAAGAGCAAACGAAAGCAUCACCACCCACACAUACAGUUUCUUUGAUAUGUCUUUGCAGUUGCUUCUUGUCUCAAGAGCAAGUCCAAAAUGCAAUGGUGAAGAGUCUUUUUGCUAAUGAUCAUUGAGGUGUCUUUGACAUGUGAAUCAUAUGUAACAAGGGUACCAUUAUUGUGACAAUUUUAUAUUUAAUUUCCUUAUGGAAGAAACAUCAUUAUCUGGCUUCCUCAACUAGCCGUUGCAUGUGAGUAUUGUAUAGCCUUUUAUAUGGAAUAAACCAGUGAUUCAUUUU